This 58-nucleotide transfer RNA is filed under the name Dipodomys ordii (Ord's kangaroo rat). It matches the Rfam family "tRNA", at positions 8 to 63 of the family's 71-position model. Rfam says of the family: Transfer RNA (tRNA) molecules are approximately 80 nucleotides in length. Their secondary structure includes four short double-helical elements and three loops (D, anti-codon, and T loops). The record is from Rfam by way of RNAcentral. Lineage: Eukaryota; Metazoa; Chordata; Mammalia; Rodentia; Heteromyidae.
UGGCUCAGUGGUAGAGCGCUUGCCUUGCACGCAUGAGGCCCUGGGUUCCAUUCCUCAG